Molecule: ribosomal RNA, 492 nt
Filed under: uncultured bacterium
Lineage: Bacteria
Description: partial 16S ribosomal RNA
Rfam family: Bacterial small subunit ribosomal RNA
Source: RNAcentral
AGUGAACGCUGGCGGUAGGCCUAACACAUGCAAGUCGAACGGCAGCACAGUAAGAGCUUGCUCUUACGGGUGGCGAGUGGCGGACGGGUGAGGAAUACAUCGGAAUCUACUUUUUCGUGGGGGAUAACGUAGGGAAACUUACGCUAAUACCGCAUACGACCUACGGUUGAAAGCAGGGGAUCUUCGGACCUUGCGCGAUUGAAUGAGCCGAUGUCGGAUUAGCUAGUUGGCGGGUUAAAGGCCCACCAAGGCGACGAUCCGUAGCUGGUCUGAGAGGAUGAUCAGCCACACUGGAACUGAGACACGGUCCAGACUCCUACGGGAGGCAGCAGUGGGGAAUAUUGGACAAUGGGCGCAAGCCUGAUCCAGCCAUCCCGCGUGGGUGAAGAAGGCCUUCGGGUUGUAAAGCCCUUUUGUUGGGAAAGAAAAGCAGCAGGUUAAUACCCCGCUGUUCUGACGGUACCCAAAGAAUAAGCACCGGCUAACUUCGUG